This is a long non-coding RNA of Sander lucioperca (pikeperch), 478 nucleotides long. RefSeq lists it as uncharacterized. The transcript has 3 exons. NCBI's taxonomy places the organism in Eukaryota, Metazoa, Chordata, Actinopteri, Perciformes, Percidae. The record is from RefSeq and is a predicted model, not a curated record.
AUAAAGCACCAGAACAUCUACAAAUAGCAUCCUGCUACAUAACGAAUGUUGAGAUGCUGAGGUGUCUCGCUUCCAUUCAUUAUUCACAACUAUCUAUGAACUAUCAGUCAUGGCAAUGCUCAGACUGGCCAUCUUGUUAUUCAUCACCAUGUACCAUCACACUUUAUUGCCCCUAUGCGCAUGAUUUGAUAGUUUCAGACUUAAGCGACUUUUGUUCUCUAUCUCUACUUGUAUGGACGUUACUGACUGCAGCUUCACUGGCCGUGGGGUGAGUGAACUUCUGUUCUGGAAUGUCUUGAAUGUAAAAUUAAUGAAUAUCAGUUGAUACGUCAUGAUGUCAUAUUGGUCAGUUUAACAAUAGAAGGCUACAACCUUAAGAUUGACAGUGCAACUUCAGUCAUAAGAGGUAAGUGGUAGGUAUAAAUGAAUAAGAGUUUUAAUUAAAAUCAAGGCACACAUACUUACAUAUAAAUAAUGA